CAAUCAUCUUAUCAGCUGGCAGGACAGGACCGGAAAGGACAGGAUCGGACCAGGCAGGACAGGACCGGAAAGGACAGGAUCGGACCGGGCAGGACAGGACCGGAAAGGACAGGGCAGGACAGGAUCGGACCAGGCAGAACAGGAUCGGACCGGGCAGGACAGGACCGGAAAGGACAGGGCAGGACAGGAUCGGACCGGGCAGGACAGGACCGGAAAGGACAGGAUCGGACCAGGCAGGACAGGACCGGAAAGGACAGGAUCGGACCGGGCAGGACAGGAGGAUCUCAAACUAGGCAGAUGGACCCCAGAUGAGUAGGACCUGAGCCCUAGAACCAUGCCUCAGGACUACCUGGCAUUAUGACUCCUUGCUGUCCCCAGUCCACCUGGCCAUGCUGCUGCUCCAAUUUAAACUGUUCUGCCUGCGGCUAUGGAACCCCGACCUGUUCACCGGAUGUGCUACCUGUCCCAGACCUGCUGUUUUCAACUCUCUAGAGCCAGCAGGAGUGGUAGAGAUACUCUCAAUGAUCUGCUAUGAAAAGCUAACUGACAUUUACUCUAAGGUGCUGACUUGUUGCACCCUCGACAACUACUGUGAUUAUUAUUAUUUGACCAUGCUGGUCAUUUAUGAACAUUUGAACAUCUUGGCCAUGUUCUGUUAUAAUCUCCACCCGGCACAGCCAGAAGAGGACUGGCCACCCCUCAGAGCCUAGUUCCUCUCUAUGUUUCUUCCUAGGUUUUGGCCUUUCUAGGGAGUUUUUCCUAGCCACCGUGCUUCUACACCUGCAUUGCUUGCUGUUUGGGGUUUUAGGCUGGGUUUCUGUACAGCACUUUGAGAUAUAAGCUCAUGUAAGAAGGGCUAUAUAAAUACAUUUGAUAUCGACAUGGUCACAAAUGGGUCUUCCAAAUGGACAAUGAUCCCAAGCAUACUUCCAAUGUUGUGGCAAAAUGGUUUAAGGACAACAAAGUCAAGGUAUUGGAGUGGCUAUCACAAAGCCCUGACCUCAAUCCCAUAGAAAAUUUGUGGGCAGAACUGAAAAAGCAUGUGCGAGCAGGGAUGCCUACAAACCUGACUCAGUUACACCAGCUCUGUCAGGAGGAAUGGGCCAAAAUUCACCCAAUUUAUUGUGGGAAGCUUGUGGAAGGCUACCCGAAACAUUUAACCCAAGUUAAACAAUUUAAAGGCAAUGCUAUCAAAUACUAAUUGAGUGUAUGUAAACUUCUGACCCACUGGGAAUGUGAUGAAAGAAAUAAAAGCUGAAAUAAAUCA
This is a long non-coding RNA of Oncorhynchus nerka (sockeye salmon), 1267 nucleotides long. RefSeq lists it as uncharacterized. The record is from RefSeq and is a predicted model, not a curated record. The transcript has 2 exons. Lineage: Eukaryota; Metazoa; Chordata; Actinopteri; Salmoniformes; Salmonidae.